This 497-nucleotide ribosomal RNA is filed under the name uncultured bacterium. RNAcentral's name for it is "partial 16S ribosomal RNA". It matches the Rfam family "Bacterial small subunit ribosomal RNA", at positions 28 to 507 of the family's 1533-position model. The record is from RNAcentral.
GACGAACGCUGGCGGCGUGCCUAAUACAUGCAAGUUGAGCGCUGAAGGUUGGUACUUGUACCAACUGGAUGAGCAGCGAACGGGUGAGUAACGCGUGGGGAAUCUGCCUUUGAGCGGGGGACAACAUUUGGAAACGAAUGCUAAUACCGCAUAAAAACUUUAAACACAAGUUUUAAGUUUGAAAGAUGCAAUUGCAUCACUCAAAGAUGAUCCCGCGUUGUAUUAGCUAGUUGGUGAGGUAAAGGCUCACCAAGGCGAUGAUACAUAGCCGACCUGAGAGGGUGGUCGGCCACAAUGGGACUGAGACACGGCCCAAACUCCUACGGGAGGCAGCAGUAGGGAAUCUUCGGCAAUGGACGAAAGUCUGACCGAGCAACGCCGCGUGGGUGAAGAAGGUUUUCGGAUCGUAAAACUCUGUUGGUAGAGAAGAACGUUGGUGAGAGUGGAAAGCUCAUCAAGUGACGGUAACUACCCAGAAAGGGACGGCUAACUACGUG